Molecule: long non-coding RNA, 957 nt
Filed under: Homo sapiens (human)
Lineage: Eukaryota; Metazoa; Chordata; Mammalia; Primates; Hominidae
Description: HSALNT0015297
Source: RNAcentral
UCCAUUCAUAAACAUUUAUUGUGUACUUACUAUAUUUUAGGCACUUUGUGAUACAAACAACUCUUCUCCAAUAGUUUAGUGGGAAAGAGUCAAAUAUCAUAAUACUGUGUAAUUUGAUAAACGCUUUAAGUCAGCAAUACAGAGAGGUGAUGGCUCAUUCGGCUGAGGGACUGGCAAAAGGUAUUGUUUGAAGUUAGUCCAGAAUGAUGUGUAGGAAUUGCUCUGGCUGAGAACGUAGAAAAGAUAUUUAAUUUAAAGUAGACAACAGCAAGUGCAAAGGUUGGAAAGGUGAUCAUGUAUUUUAUAGAAAGCAAUAUUGCACGGCUGAAGAUCAUGGAAGCCAGAGUAGGUGAGAUUAUAUAGCUAGUCGGGGAAUAAAUAAAGCAGGGUCUUGUAUGACUCUUGAAAACUCCUGGAACCUUAUCUUGGAGGCGACGUGGACCAUGGCAUUUUUGUGGCUUGAUAGGUCUCUCUCUUGUGUUUUUAAUUAUACUGAAGUUACCUUAGCUUAAAAAAAUGAGGGCAUUAGCAUCAUUUCUAGCCACCAUGCUCACCUAUCUUCUUUUCUUAGUGUCUUCCCCAAAUUUCAAAAAGUGCUCUUCAUAGUUUUAUAUUUUACUUGAAUCUUCCUUAACCUCAUUGAAUAAUGCUUGUCCCACUAGCCAUUCUGCUUGAUCAUUUCAUCCCAGUCACCAUGUCAUCUCCUAAGUUCUGUGCUCAACAGUCUUUCUUUACUUCCCAGGGUCCCAGCCCUCUGGAAAGCAUUGCCCACUCUUGGUCAGCUCCUGCCCCUCUAUUCUGGACACUGCACUGCUGUCAGUGUUUUAUAAUUCACUGGGAUUCUCCCCCGUCUCUUCUCUGCUAGUAUUUCUGCUAGUUCCAAUUCUAAAUCUGUGCAUAAUAACUAAGGUUUAGCCCUUAGCUGUCUGACUUUUUCUUUCUACAGAAAAAUCUCAU